AGGAAAAGAAACCAACAGGGAUUGCCUUAGUAGCGGCGAGUGAAGCGGCAAAAGCUCAAAUUUGAAAUCUGGCACCUUCGGUGUCCGAGUUGUAAUUUGAAGAUUGUAACCUUGGGGUUGGCUCUUGUCUAUGUUUCUUGGAACAGGACGUCACAGAGGGUGAGAAUCCCGUGCGAUGAGAUGCCCAAUCCUAUGUAAGGUGCUUUCGAAGAGUCGAGUUGUUUGGGAAUGCAGCUCUAAGUGGGUGGUAAAUUCCAUCUAAAGCUAAAUAUUGGCGAGAGACCGAUAGCGAACAAGUACAGUGAUGGAAAGAUGAAAAGAACUUUGAAAAGAGAGUGAAAAAGUACGUGAAAUUGUUGAAAGGGAAGGGUUUGAGAUCAGACUCGAUAUUUUGUGAGCCUUGCCUUCGUGGCGGGGUGACCCGCAGCUUAUCGGGCCAGCAUCGGUUUGGGCGGUAGGAUAAUGGCGUAGGAAUGUGA
RNAcentral lists this ribosomal RNA (479 nucleotides) under Meyerozyma guilliermondii. RNAcentral describes it as "partial large subunit ribosomal RNA". It matches the Rfam family "Eukaryotic large subunit ribosomal RNA", at positions 54 to 538 of the family's 3401-position model. Lineage: Eukaryota; Fungi; Ascomycota; Pichiomycetes; Serinales; Debaryomycetaceae. The record is from RNAcentral. RNAcentral also lists the same sequence under 1 other name.